This 428-nucleotide ribosomal RNA is filed under the name Chloroflexota bacterium. RNAcentral's name for it is "Chloroflexi bacterium partial 16S ribosomal RNA". It matches the Rfam family "Bacterial small subunit ribosomal RNA", at positions 355 to 776 of the family's 1533-position model. Lineage: Bacteria; Bacillati; Chloroflexota. The record is from RNAcentral.
UGGGGAAUAUUGCACAAUGGGCGCAAGCCUGAUGCAGCCAUGCCGCGUGUAUGAAGAAGGCCUUCGGGUUGUAAAGUACUUUCAGUCGGGAGGAAGGUGUCAAGGUUAAUAACCUUGGCAAUUGACGUUACCGACAGAAGAAGCACCGGCUAACUCCGUGCCAGCAGCCGCGGUAAUACGGAGGGUGCAAGCGUUAAUCGGAAUUACUGGGCGUAAAGCGCACGCAGGCGGUUGAUUGAGUCAGAUGUGAAAUCCCCGGGCUUAACCCGGGAAUUGCAUCUGAUACUGGUCAGCUAGAGUCUUGUAGAGGGGGGUAGAAUUCCAUGUGUAGCGGUGAAAUGCGUAGAGAUGUGGAGGAAUACCGGUGGCGAAGGCGGCCCCCUGACAAAGACUGACGCUCAGGUGCGAAAGCGUGGGGAGCAAACAGG